CCCUAGGUAUCCUGUUUAUUGACAACAAGGCUCUGACCCACUCCAGGCUGGCCAGGCAGGGACUCCGCUAUGUGUUCACCUACCUGCCCCCGGGGAGCCUGGCUGAGGGGCACUAUUCUGGGCAUGGAAUGCCAACCAGGCUGCCGCGUCUGGUCUGGCGUGUACUGAGGAGCAGCCGCGGUGCAGCCCCAUCCAGACCCACUGCCGAGUGCGGGCGCGCAAGGCUCCCGACCCUGGCCAAGGGGCAGGGUCUCUGCUGUACCAGAUCCCAGCGAGGCUGCCUGCCCAGGUGGCAGCAUGGAGACCCUCUUCCCCGCCCCACUCUGGGAGGUUCUCUACAACAGCCACCUGCAGGACAACCUGUCCCUCGUGAGCCCCAACCACAGCUUGCCACCCCACCUGCUGCUCAAUGCCAGCCACGGUGCCUUCCUGUCCCUCGGACUCAAGGUCACCAUCGUGGGGCUCUACCUGGCUGUGUGCAUAGGGGGACUGCUGGGAAACAGCCUCGUCAUGUAUGUCAUC
Hipposideros armiger (great roundleaf bat) is the source of this 522-nucleotide long non-coding RNA. RefSeq lists it as uncharacterized. The record is from RefSeq and is a predicted model, not a curated record. The transcript has 3 exons. Lineage: Eukaryota; Metazoa; Chordata; Mammalia; Chiroptera; Hipposideridae.